AACUAUAACCUUCCUAGAAUA
RNAcentral lists this transfer RNA (21 nucleotides) under Chelonia mydas (Green sea turtle). Its description in RNAcentral is "partial tRNA-Thr". The record is from RNAcentral. Lineage: Eukaryota; Metazoa; Chordata; Testudines; Cheloniidae.